RNAcentral lists this long non-coding RNA (699 nucleotides) under Daphnia pulicaria. Its description in RNAcentral is "uncharacterized LOC124321061, transcript variant X1". Lineage: Eukaryota; Metazoa; Arthropoda; Branchiopoda; Diplostraca; Daphniidae. The record is from RNAcentral.
GGAGUCAUAACUCAAAAAUUAAAACGCGUCUCGGCUCACCCAACUUUCUCCUAAACCAGUUUCGUUUUACAGUAACACUUUUGACUUCUUUUAACUGAUUGAAAGAUUCCCGCAAAAGUUAUUCACAUAAAAAAAUACUCAAUGUGUGAAUCAUAAUAGAAGAAACUUUUUUUACGGUUUCACCAUGACCAAAGGUUUUGGUAGUAACUGCAAUGUAGCUAAAAACAUCCGAAGAACAGCCGCAAGGUUAGUUUCCAAAACUUAUGCAAAUAAUGGGAUGACUCUUCGAUUUUGUAAGUCUCCAUAUACGGUCAACAGAAAGACCUGCUGAGUCCCACCUUGAUAGAAAAGUUACAUGACGUUAGUAUUUUAGUGUUAAAAUUGACUACCCGAGCACCAGAACUCUCGUCAUGAAGUCUACAACGAUUCCUAGUUCGACUAUCUUAAUAACCAAUGUUUUAUUCCUUUUGCUUUUCGCCGAAGUACUGUGCAUGCCCCAGUACCACGGGACAAGUAAACCUUGUUACCCGGAAUCUGAUGAUUGCACCUUUAUAGUACCAGUGCCAGGUUUUGUUGCAGGUAUUGCUGCUUUACCAUCGAUUGGAAAAUGGCCUCCAUGCCCACCGGGUUUUACACGUGGUUAUGACGGGGAAUGUAGAAAAAGAGGAACUAUCGGAUAGAAACAAUUGAAAAUACCGG